Molecule: ribosomal RNA, 649 nt
Filed under: Entrophospora claroidea
Lineage: Eukaryota; Fungi; Glomeromycota; Glomeromycetes; Entrophosporales; Entrophosporaceae
Description: partial 28S large subunit ribosomal RNA
Rfam family: Eukaryotic large subunit ribosomal RNA
Source: RNAcentral
GCAUAUCAAUAAGCGGAGGAUGGUCCGUGUUUCAAGACGUAAUGGCUUUAAACGACAUCAUAGAGGGUGACAAUCCCGUCUGCGACCGGUCGUGCGUUCAUCUACGAUACGCUUUCAAAGAGUCGAGUUGUUUGGGAUUGCAGCUCCAAAUGGGUGGUAAACAUCACUUAAGGCUAAAUAUUGGCGAGAGACCGAUAGCGAACAAGUACCGUGAGGGAAAGAUGAAAAGAACUUUGAAAAGAGAGUUAAACAGUACGUGAAAUUGUUGAAAGGGAAACGAUUGAAGUCAGUCGUGCUGGCGCGAAAUCAACCCUCUCAUCGGGAGAUCACAUGUUGUGGCGAGCCUCAAGACCGCCACAGCGUGUGAUCUCACGAUGAGGGGGAGCACUUUUGUGUCCGCUGGUUAACAUCAAUUUCGAACGUCAUAAAAAGGCUGGAGGGAUGUGGCUCCUUCGGGAGUGUUAUAACCUUUAGCGGAAUGUGGUGGUCGGGAUUGAGGAUUGCAACGAAUACCUUUAGGGCUGUUCCACCUGGCUUCUCUUUGGCAUCCUGGUGACGACAGCCUGCUGACGUUGUUAGGAUUCGCCUUUGAACAGGCUAGAGUGUGAGCAAAUUCGUUGAGGAUGUUGACGUAAUGGCUUUAAACGAC